This 1370-nucleotide ribosomal RNA is filed under the name uncultured bacterium. RNAcentral's name for it is "16S ribosomal RNA". It matches the Rfam family "Bacterial small subunit ribosomal RNA", at positions 28 to 1381 of the family's 1533-position model. The record is from RNAcentral.
GAUGAACGCUGGCGGCGUGCCUAAUACAUGCAAGUCGAGCGAACGGACGAGAAGCUUGCUUCUCUGAUGUUAGCGGCGGACGGGUGAGUAACACGUGGAUAACCUACCUAUAAGACUGGGAUAACUUCGGGAAACCGGAGCUAAUACCGGAUAAUAUUUUGAACCGCAUGGUUCAAAAGUGAAAGACGGUCUUGCUGUCACUUAUAGAUGGAUCCGCGCUGCAUUAGCUAGUUGGUAAGGUAACGGCUUACCAAGGCAACGAUGCAUAGCCGACCUGAGAGGGUGAUCGGCCACACUGGAACUGAGACACGGUCCAGACUCCUGCGGGAGGCAGCAGUAGGGAAUCUUCCGCAAUGGGCGAAAGCCUGACGGAGCAACGCCGCGUGAGUGAUGAAGGUCUUCGGAUCGUAAAACUCUGUUAUUAGGGAAGAACAUAUGUGUAAGUAACUGUGCACAUCUUGACGGUACCUAAUCAGAAAGCCACGGCUAACUACGUGCCAGCAGCCGCGGUAAUACGUAGGUGGCAAGCGUUAUCCGGAAUUAUUGGGCGUAAAGCGCGCGUAGGCGGUUUUUUAAGUCUGAUGUGAAAGCCCACGGCUCAACCGUGGAGGGUCAUUGGAAACUGGAAAACUUGAGUGCAGAAGAGGAAAGUGGAAUUCCAUGUGUAGCGGUGAAAUGCGCAGAGAUAUGGAGGAACACCGGUGGCGAAAGCGGCUCUCUGGCUUGUAACUGACGCUGAGGCUCGAAAGCGUGGGGAGCAAACAGGAUUAGAUACCCUGGUAGUCCACGCCGUAAACGAUGAGUGCUAGGUGUUAGACCCUUUCCGGGGUUUAGUGCCGUAGCUAACGCAUUAAGCACUCCGCCUGGGGAGUACGACCGCAAGGUUGAAACUCAAAGGAAUUGACGGGGGCCCGCACAAGCGGUGGAGCAUGUGGUUUAAUUCGAAGCAACGCGAAGAACCUUACCAGGUCUUGACAUCCCUCUGACCGCUCUAGAGAUAGAGUUUUCCUUCGGGACAGAGGUGACAGGUGGUGCAUGGUUGUCGUCAGCUCGUGUCGUGAGAUGUUGGGUUAAGUCCCGCAACGAGCGCAACCCCUAUUGUUAGUUGCCAUCAUUCAGUUGGGCACUCUAGCGAGACUGCCGGUAAUAAACCGGAGGAAGGUGGGGAUGACGUCAAACCAUCAUGCCCCUUAUGACCUGGGCUACACACGUGCUACAAUGGCUGGUACAACGAGUCGCAAGCCGGUGACGGCAAGCUAAUCUCUUAAAGCCAGUCUCAGUUCGGAUUGUAGGCUGCAACUCGCCUACAUGAAGUCGGAAUCGCUAGUAAUCGCGGAUCAGCACGCCGCGGUGAAUACGUUCCCGGGCCU